GGCUCAGGACGAACGCUGGCGGCGUGCCUAAUACAUGCAAGUCGAGCGGGGUUAUGUAGAAGCUUGCUUCUACAUAACCUAGCGGCGGACGGGUGAGUAACACGUAGGCAACCUGCCCACAAGACAGGGAUAACUACCGGAAACGGUAGCUAAUACCCGAUACAUCCUUUUCCUGCAUGGGAGAAGGAGGAAAGACGGAGCAAUCUGUCACUUGUGGAUGGGCCUGCGGCGCAUUAGCUAGUUGGUGGGGUAAAGGCCUACCAAGGCGACGAUGCGUAGCCGACCUGAGAGGGUGAUCGGCCACACUGGGACUGAGACACGGCCCAGACUCCUACGGGAGGCAGCAGUAGGGAAUCUUCCGCAAUGGGCGAAAGCCUGACGGAGCAACGCCGCGUGAGUGAUGAAGGUUUUCGGAUCGUAAAGCUCUGUUGCCAGGGAAGAACGUCUUGUAGAGUAA
RNAcentral lists this ribosomal RNA (457 nucleotides) under Paenibacillus sp. RNAcentral's name for it is "bacterial SSU rRNA". It matches the Rfam family "Bacterial small subunit ribosomal RNA", at positions 21 to 464 of the family's 1533-position model. Lineage: Bacteria; Bacillati; Bacillota; Bacilli; Caryophanales; Paenibacillaceae. The record is from RNAcentral.